This 184-nucleotide non-coding RNA is filed under the name unclassified sequences. RNAcentral's name for it is "malK-I RNA". It matches the Rfam family "malK-I RNA". The record is from RNAcentral.
UCGGCCGGAGCCCGCUCACUCCACUUUUUGAACGGGGGACGACUGACAAUAAAGGAGGAAAGAUCCCCUGACUUGGGGUGCGGCAGUGUGGAGACCUGUCGCAAUGCGCGACCGACAUAUGCGCGGCGCGCGAGGCGGUUCGUUGAAGGAGUUCGGGACCGUCGAAGUCAAAUGCAGUAUGGCA